Molecule: ribosomal RNA, 301 nt
Filed under: uncultured bacterium
Lineage: Bacteria
Description: partial 16S ribosomal RNA
Rfam family: Bacterial small subunit ribosomal RNA
Source: RNAcentral
CAGUCGCCGCGGGAAUACAGAGGGUGCGAGCGUUAAUCGGAUUUACUGGGCGUAAAGCGUGCGUAGGCGGCUUUUUAAGUCGGAUGUGAAAUCCCUGAGCUUAACUUAGGAAUUGCAUUCGAUACUGGGAAGCUAGAGUAUGGGAGAGGAUGGUAGAAUUCCAGGUGUAGCGGUGAAAUGCGUAGAGAUCUGGAGGAAUACCGAUGGCGAAGGCAGCCAUCUGGCCUAAUACUGACGCUGAGGUACGAAAGCAUGGGGAGCAAACAGGAUUAGAGACCCCGGUAGUCCCUGUCUCUUAUAC